RNAcentral lists this ribosomal RNA (253 nucleotides) under uncultured bacterium. RNAcentral describes it as "partial 16S ribosomal RNA". It matches the Rfam family "Bacterial small subunit ribosomal RNA", at positions 524 to 776 of the family's 1533-position model. The record is from RNAcentral.
UACGUAGGGUGCGAGCGUUCAUCGGAAUUACUGGGCGUAAAGGGCGCGCAGGCGGCUCUGAAAGUCAGAUGUGAAAGCCCCGGGCUUAACCUGGGAAUUGCAUUUGAUACUCUGGAGCUUGAGUGUGGGAGAGGAGAGUGGAAUUCCCAGUGUAGAGGUGAAAUUCGUAGAUAUUGGGAAGAACACCGGUGGCGAAGGCGGCUCUCUGGACCACAACUGACGCUGAGGCGCGAAAGCGUGGGGAGCAAACAGG